GUACAUAUGUUGAAGAUUAUUAAUAUAUAGAGUGGGUGUUGUGGUGGUAGUAUGAUAUGUAGAGUAGUAGGUUGCAUAGUACGAUGUAGUGUAUGA
Molecule: microRNA precursor, 96 nt
Filed under: Rattus norvegicus (Norway rat)
Lineage: Eukaryota; Metazoa; Chordata; Mammalia; Rodentia; Muridae
Description: microRNA rno-mir-352 precursor
Gene: rno-mir-352
Source: miRBase by way of RNAcentral